AACCAAGUCUACAGGAACACACACCACCUAGCUCUGUCCAUGUAAUAUACUACAGAGGGUGGAAAUGCACAAUGCUUAAAUCUUCACUUGUCCAAUGGAUGUUUAACUCAUUCACUAUUUCCAUCCUCACACAAUGAAGACAGUAUGAGAGGCUUUUGAAGACCAAACUGUCAGCUUUACAUCACUUAUUAUGAACAAGCUUCUUUGGGAGAUGAUUAUUUUUGUUGAAGAACAAUUGUUCAGGAAAAGAUCGUAUAAACACACUUCUUCCUAUUAUUCCAACGGGAUACAGCUUGAAACCCUGGGCAUUAUUUGUAAAUCAAGCAUAAGAAGACUGAAAUGUGGAAAGAAGAAGGUAGACUUUCUUGGGAUCCAAAAAACAACACAACAGUUGGUUAAUUAUGUGGAUUUUCUUUUUGCUUAAUAUAUACCAGUUUAGGUGCUGGAGAAGCCAGCAAACCAAAAAUACCAACAGAUGCAGACAAACAAAAGCCCCAAGAAAAGCCUGCUCAUUUUCUCUAGCCAAAGGACCUGGAGAGCGGCAGUCAAGCAAGGCAGGAAACUUCUAGACAACUACCACCGUAUUCCAGUCAAACACUAUGAAAAAAGACAUCAGCCCCACGCCCUCCCUCAGAAAAUGCUGAGUAGGGAGCUUAGACUUCUACCUUCACUUGACUGUAAUGAGGCCAAGCUGGUCCUCGUUUCUGAGUCAGGACUCAGGAAUACCAUCACUGCCCAGCAGUAAUAAGCCCCUCUUCCCUCAUGGCAUUAGUGAAGGCUACAUGGGAAAGGGAAUUAUUUGAGCAAAAACAUUUAUGUUCAUUUUCUACCUAAAAAUGUUAACAUCAAUUUGAUAUACAACAAUGAUUUCCACAUUUGCAAAGUUGGGACAUUCUACUGAUAUUCCUUGCCCUUUCAUAAUUUCAUGAUGUUUUAAAAAUUAAAUCAUAUUAAAAUAAAUUUGUUUGAACUUUUAUUAAUAAAUUAUCAUGUAUGUAAAGAAGAACAAAAAUAUCACUCAUAUACAAAUAAAAAUUU
This 1038-nucleotide long non-coding RNA is filed under the name Homo sapiens (human). RNAcentral describes it as "HSALNT0101021". Lineage: Eukaryota; Metazoa; Chordata; Mammalia; Primates; Hominidae. The record is from RNAcentral.